Molecule: ribosomal RNA, 378 nt
Filed under: uncultured bacterium
Lineage: Bacteria
Description: bacterial SSU rRNA
Rfam family: Bacterial small subunit ribosomal RNA
Source: RNAcentral
GGAAGGUCCGGGCGUUAUCCGGAUUUAUUGGGUUUAAAGGGAGCGUAGGCCGGAGAUUAAGCGUGUUGUGAAAUGUAGAUGCUCAACAUCUGCACUGCAGCGCGAACUGGUUUCCUUGAGUACGCACAAAGUGGGCGGAAUUCGUGGUGUAGCGGUGAAAUGCUUAGAUAUCACGAAGAACUCCGAUUGCGAAGGCAGCUCACUGGAGCGCAACUGACGCUGAAGCUCGAAAGUGCGGGUAUCGAACAGGAUUAGAUACUCUGGUAGUCCGCACGGUAAACGAUGGAUGCCCGCUGUUGGUCUGAAUAGGUCAGCGGCCAAGCGAAAGCAUUAAGCAUCCCACCUGGGGAGUACGCCGGCAACGGUGAAACUCAAAGG